AGAGUUUGAUCAUGGCUCAGGACGAACGCUGGCGGCGUGCUAAUACAUGCAAGUCGAGCGAGCUUGCCUAGAUGAUUUUAGUGCUUGCACUAAAUGAAACUAGAUACAAGCGAGCGGCGGACGGGUGAGUAACACGUGGGUAACCUACCCCAAAGUCCGGGAUAACAGCGGGAAACCGCUGCUAAUACCGGAUGUCUUUACCUUGGGGCAUCUUGAGGUAAAGAAAGGCAACGCUUUGGGAUGGGCCCGCGUCCCAUUGGCUAGUUGGUGAGGUAACGGCUCACCAAGGCGACGAUGGGUAGCCGGCCUGAGAGGGUGGACGGCCACACUGGGACUGAGACACGGCCCAGACUCCUACGGGAGGCAGCAGUAGGGAAUAUUGCGCGAUGGACGGAAGUCUGACGCAGCGACGCCGCGUGAGCGAUGAAGGUCUUCGGAUCGUAAAGCUCUGUCCUUGGGGAAGAAGGUCUUCGGACUUGACGGUACCCAAGAAGAAAGCCCCGGCUAACUACGUGCCAGCAGCCGCGGUAAUACGUAGGGGGCGAGCGUUGUCCGGAAUUACUGGGCGUAAAGGGUGCGUAGGCGGCCCUUUAAGUCGGAUGUGAAAGCCCGCGGCUUAACCGCGGAAUGGCAUUCGAAACUGGAGGGCUUGAGUGUCGGAGAGGGUAGUGGAAUUCCCAGUGUAGCGGUGAAAUGCGUAGAUAUUGGGAGGAACACCAGUGGCGAAGGCGACUACCUGGACGAUAACUGACGCUGAGGCACGAAAGCUAGGGGAGCAAACAGGAUUAGAUACCCUGGUAGUCCUAGCCGUAAACGAUGGGUACUAGGUGUGGGUGGUUUCGAUACCAUCCGUGCCGUAGUUAACGCAUUAAGUACCCCGCCUGGGGAGUACGUGCGCAAGCAUGAAACUCAAAUGAAUUGACGG
RNAcentral lists this ribosomal RNA (925 nucleotides) under uncultured bacterium. Its description in RNAcentral is "bacterial SSU rRNA". It matches the Rfam family "Bacterial small subunit ribosomal RNA", at positions 8 to 916 of the family's 1533-position model. The record is from RNAcentral.